Long non-coding RNA from Lynx canadensis (Canada lynx), 890 nucleotides. RefSeq lists it as uncharacterized. The record is from RefSeq and is a predicted model, not a curated record. NCBI's taxonomy places the organism in Eukaryota, Metazoa, Chordata, Mammalia, Carnivora, Felidae. The transcript is spliced from 5 exons.
CGGUCCGCCCCGAGCCGGGGGAGGCCGGGCGCCGGUCGUUCAGGCACGUUUGAGCGGGCGACCCCGGCGGCCGGGAGACCCAGGGGGAGGGGAGGGAAGUGGAAGGUUCGGUUCCGUCGCCGCGACGCGCAUGGGCGCCGCGUCCUUCCGCCCUGCGGUGGGGGCACGGGGCACGUUGUGGGAAGGCGGAGGUCGCGUUCCGUGCCGGGCCCGGCUUUGGGCCUGUGGAAAGGUGUUUUGAGAACGCGGGAGCCGCCGGGGUGGGUGGAAGGGCGACGGUAUUUCCGUCUGGGGGUCGGGGGCCUGACAGUGAAAGUGGAAUUUUUUGUAAAUUAGAGAAUGUGAAGAAAAUUAUGGUAUGCCCCUAUGGUGGAAUAUUACGGCUCUUAGAACAAAGCCUGACAAGCAAAAACACAGAAAUCGGUGUAUACAUGCACCGUAACUGAAGGCAGACCCUGUUCUAAAGGAGCACAGUUUUGGAAGAAGAGGAAGUGUCAGGGCCCCAGUGUUGUUCAUGGGCAUCAGAUCCUGCAAGAAACCUUCAGGAACCUCUUGCCGGGCACUCACUCUGAAUGGAGGAAUCUCUACGUGUCCGGAGCAGACACCCAAUGGUGUCUUCUGUGAAACAACAUGAGCUCUAUUUACUGAGUUCCAUCCAUGUACCACAGACAUCACAUAUAUUAUUUCUAAUUCCUAUGACAACCCUGCAAGAUCAAUUUCAAACUGAUCCAUCAUGACUAUGUCGACGCACUCAGAGACCUCAAGGAAUACGGAAGCCAUAGUCUGCGACCAAUGGAACCGUGUCACCUGGUUAACAAGCCUGAGCCGACGCUGGCAAAGAAGCCAGAAUUCCCAAGCUUUCCCAGGCGAGUGUGGAGAAACACCAGGAC